UGUGAAGUAAGGGCAGCCACAGGGAGUGGUCGUCUGCUGGAAGAGAGAGUAGAGACUAAACUGGGGGCAAGAGAAGGAGAGUGACUGCAAUAACAGAACGGGACCAAGGGCCCAGGACUGGACCCACAUGUCUGCUUAGAUGUACCUGUGUGUAUAUAUCUGUGCAGGUGUUCAGUACUGAAUACUCAAGAAAACCCGAAAAGGAGACUACCUGGACACAGCACUCGGAUAAAAACCCAGACCCAAAUCCAACCACCCAGAAGCUUGGCAGAGACCUCCCAUACCCGUCCUCCCUCCGCUCGGGUGUAACUUCCCUCCAGAACUCUAAACCCCAUAAAUCGGUUCUGCACGUUUUUGAGCUUUCCACAAAUGUCAUCGCACAGCGAGCCCUCUUGGACAUUACGCACAGCUGGCUCCCAUAUGGAAAGAUGUUCUGGGUCAGCUACUUGACAAGGUGUCGCCAACAUGUGGAAGUUGAUUCCCGUCCUCUUGGUAAAUUCGGUUCUAGAACGGACAGCCAGCAAUACCUCGUACCUGAAG
Molecule: long non-coding RNA, 540 nt
Organism: Suricata suricatta (meerkat)
Lineage: Eukaryota; Metazoa; Chordata; Mammalia; Carnivora; Herpestidae
Exons: 3
Source: RefSeq, a predicted model, not a curated record